UCUAUCCUUGUCUGGGGGUGAGUGAGCUACUCAAUGAACGUAUAGUGAGAGCAGCCCUGCUAACACCAGAUCAGCACAUAAGCAUCACCUGGGCUUCUGUCCGGGACAUGGUGCAAUUUUUGGAAAC
This is a small nuclear RNA of Eleginops maclovinus (Patagonian blennie), 127 nucleotides long. RefSeq annotates it as U4atac minor spliceosomal RNA. The record is from RefSeq and is a predicted model, not a curated record. The transcript has a single exon. NCBI's taxonomy places the organism in Eukaryota, Metazoa, Chordata, Actinopteri, Perciformes, Eleginopidae.